RNAcentral lists this ribosomal RNA (483 nucleotides) under uncultured Glomus. Its description in RNAcentral is "SSU rRNA". It matches the Rfam family "Eukaryotic small subunit ribosomal RNA", at positions 571 to 1068 of the family's 1831-position model. The record is from RNAcentral. Lineage: Eukaryota; Fungi; Glomeromycota; Glomeromycetes; Glomerales; Glomeraceae.
AGCAGCCGCGGUAAUUCCAGCUCCAAUAGCGUAUAUUAAAGUUGUUGCAGUUAAAAAGCUCGUAGUUGAAUUUCGAGAUCAAUUUGUUGGUCGUGCCUCGGUACGUACUGGCAAUUUUGAUUUCUCCCUUCUGAAGAACCAUGAUGUCAUUAAUUUGGUGUCAUGGGGAAUCAGGACYGUUACUUUGAAAAAAUUAGAGUGUUUAAAGCAGGCUCGCGCUUGAAUACAUUAGCAUGGAAUAAUGAAAUAGGACGUUUGAUUCUAUUUUGUUGGUUUCUAGGAUCGACGUAAUGAUUAAUAGGGAUAGUUGGGGGCAUUAGUAUUCAAUUGUCAGAGGUGAAAUUCUUGGAUUUAUUGAAGACUAACUACUGCGAAAGCAUUUGCCAAGGAUGUUUUCAUUAAUCAAGAACGAAAGUUAGGGGAUCGAAGACGAUCAGAUACCGUCGUAGUCUUAACCAUAAACUAUGCCGACUAGGGAUCGGA